AACGAACGCUGGCGGCAUGCCUAACACAUGCAAGUCGAACGAGACCUUCGGGUCUAGUGGCGCACGGGUGCGUAACGCGUGGGAACCUGCCCUUAGGUUCGGAAUAACUCCCCGAAAGGGGUGCUAAUACCGGCUAAUGUCUUCGGACCAAAGAUUUAUCGCCUUUGGAUGGGCCCGCGUUGGAUUAGCUAGUUGGUAGGGUAAAAGCCUACCAAGGCGACGAUCCAUAGCUGGUCUGAGAGGAUGAUCAGCCACACUGGGACUGAGACACGGCCCAGACUCCUACGGGAGGCAGCAGUGGGGAAUAUUGGACAAUGGGCGAAAGCCUGAGCCAGCAAGGCCGCGGGAGUGAUGAAGGCCUUAGGGUUGUAAAGCUCUUUUACCCGGGAUGAUAAUGACAGUACCGGGAGAAUAAGCUCCGGCUAACUCCGUG
Molecule: ribosomal RNA, 433 nt
Filed under: uncultured bacterium
Lineage: Bacteria
Description: partial 16S ribosomal RNA
Rfam family: Bacterial small subunit ribosomal RNA
Source: RNAcentral